GACGAACGCUGGCGACGCGCUUAACACAUGCAAGUCGAACGGAAAGGCCUGCUUUCCCUUGUGGAUUGCGGGUACUCGAGUGGCGAACGGGUGAGUAACACGUGAGUGAUCUGCCCCCAACUUGGGUAUAAGCCUGGGAAACUGGGUCUAAUUCCCGAUAGGACUGCAGGGUGGUGCCUGUGGUGGAAAACGAUUGUCUAGUGGUUGGGGAUGAGCUCGCGGCCUAUCAGCUUGUUGGUGGGGGAAUGGCCUACCAAGGCGGCGACGGGUAGCCGGCCUGAGAGGGUGGACGGCCACAUUGGGACUGAGAUACGGCCCAGACUCCUACGGGAGGCAGCAGUGGGGAAUAUUGCACAAUGGGCGGAAGCCUGAUGCAGCGACGCCGCGUGGGUGAUGACGGCCUUCGGGUUGUAAACUCCUUUCGACCGCGAGGAAGCCACCUGGUUGGAAGGGUGGUGACGGUAGUGGUAGAAGAAGCACCGGCUAACUACGUG
Molecule: ribosomal RNA, 494 nt
Filed under: uncultured bacterium
Lineage: Bacteria
Description: partial 16S ribosomal RNA
Rfam family: Bacterial small subunit ribosomal RNA
Source: RNAcentral